UAAAACCGGUAAAACCACAAGUUAAGACAUAUGGGUAUGGAGAGCUCAACUAUCUACGACAACAGCUAAAUAUAUUCCAACAAUUGGCAGGCCAAUGACGACCGAUAUGCCAACAACCGAACCACCAACUAGGGCACGGUCUACCGGUCCUGGUAGACCGUGUUUCCAGGCAUCAAACGAAACACCAGUAGCAACGAAUACCUUCACCAGUCCAGCACCAACAGAGCCCAGUCGAACUGUCAAAGUUGGAUCACCUGAGAACGACGCCAAUAUUUCUAACAUCAUCAGCUUGAAGGAAUAGGAUAUAGGAAUCUAGUUUGACCAAAUUACAACAGACAUUUAAGCGAAUUUACAAAAAAUUAAUGAAAAUCAUGUCCUAAAUAAUAUACAAACACAAAAUAAGAUUUGUUUAGCUUAUCGGAAUCAGUGUAGCCAUCCCCUGAAUUAAAACCUAUUAAAAAUUUGUGGAAUAAAGUAUGAAAACAUA
Long non-coding RNA from Daphnia pulex (common water flea), 487 nucleotides. RefSeq lists it as uncharacterized. Lineage: Eukaryota; Metazoa; Arthropoda; Branchiopoda; Diplostraca; Daphniidae. The record is from RefSeq and is a predicted model, not a curated record. The transcript is spliced from 2 exons.